CCGGCGCCACCGGCCCGCGGGGAGCUGGCUGAGCUGAGAAGGGUUGGGAACCGAGGGAAGACGGCUUUGUCCGCACUGGGACGCACCGGGGAUGGAGAGCUGGUUUGUGAGUCGCUCAGAGAAAAGAAACCAGUGGUGCGAGCUCUGGUGCCAGGCCUGAAAGCUGUCACCAGUCCCCCACAGUUCUAUCAUAUGGUUCCCUGACCAGGAACAGCAGACGAGAGACUCCUGGGGCUUUCCAAUUUGAGUCCCCUGUCAUUCAGGACCAGGACCGGACUGCAUCCUGCAUUAAUUCCUCACUUCUACCCUUGGGAGCUGUAAACUUGUCACUGCUGGCUCGCAAACAACACUGACCCAAUUUACUACAGUCUAACAUAUGUGCAUUCACCAGUGAAGUUGUCCUGGCUAAAACACCUGGCACCAGCUUCUACCUGGACAUCAACCAUCAUCCUGUCGACUCCCCUAGACCCCAGUACAGCGUCCCCUGCCAGCAGGAAACAGUAAAGAGAGACAUCUUUGCUCCUUUUCAUAAUAAUAUUCAUAAGAAAGGAUAUGAAAGAGUUUUGGCCCAGACAGGACACUGUAGCUGGUAAAGCCUCAGACAGAACCAAGGAGCUCCUAUCUCCCCCACCCCUAGGAAUUUACCUGUGACUCUAUCUUCCCCACCCCUAGGAAUUUACCUGUGGUGCCAAAAGAAUACCAGUAGGCUACCCAUGCAUCCCUAAUGCCCCUCAGGCAUCACCCUAACCUAAGCUACAUGUAUGCCUCCACUCCACGUGUUCCACAGAGAGAUCGCUGACCCCGGGGGGAGAUCCCACACCACAGGGGAUCAGGGGUGUCUCUCCCCGCAUUCUCAAAAUAAAGGUCAUUUAUAUUUCA
Molecule: long non-coding RNA, 879 nt
Organism: Cavia porcellus (domestic guinea pig)
Lineage: Eukaryota; Metazoa; Chordata; Mammalia; Rodentia; Caviidae
Exons: 3
Source: RefSeq, a predicted model, not a curated record